RNAcentral lists this long non-coding RNA (414 nucleotides) under Mytilus galloprovincialis (Mediterranean mussel). The record is from RNAcentral. Lineage: Eukaryota; Metazoa; Mollusca; Bivalvia; Mytilida; Mytilidae.
CCUAACCUAUCAUAUGCAUUUAUAGUUAUUCUUCUGUGUAUUUUGUGUAAUAAAAAAAAGUAAUGUUAUAAAUAUAAUAAAUUGCAAUGGUUAAUAAACACGAAUUUGUUGCUGAAGUGGUCUGGUGAUAUACGUGGAAAUAAUAUGCUACAGUCAUGUGCAGAUGGAACACAUGAAACUUCAUUCCAAACACGACCCUGAUUCCAUACUUUACCAGAGACCAGCAAAAAAUUAAGUAGAACAAACAAGCAAACGAAAUUCAAAGGAUAAAAAAAAAUCAAGAAAUAAGAGUAGAAAAUACGCUAUUACAUAGAAGUAAAGAAUAUAACACAGAAAUACAAAAUAAACACGGUAGUAACAACAAACACAGAACAUUUUGAAAUACUUCAAACAUGUUUAAUCAGUAUACAAGCG